Molecule: non-coding RNA, 103 nt
Organism: Microvirga sp.
Lineage: Bacteria; Pseudomonadati; Pseudomonadota; Alphaproteobacteria; Hyphomicrobiales; Methylobacteriaceae
Source: Rfam
GAGAGCCGGAUGCGGUAGCGCCGCACGUCCGGUUCGAUGAGAGGGGAUGGGAAACGGGGCGUUGCCGAAUGGCCCAAGCUACCGCGCCCAUCCUCGACUCUAC